RNAcentral lists this ribosomal RNA (492 nucleotides) under uncultured bacterium. RNAcentral describes it as "partial 16S ribosomal RNA". It matches the Rfam family "Bacterial small subunit ribosomal RNA", at positions 29 to 507 of the family's 1533-position model. The record is from RNAcentral.
AGUGAACGCUGGCGGUAGGCCUAACACAUGCAAGUCGAACGGCAGCACAGUAAGAGCUUGCUCUUACGGGUGGCGAGUGGCGGACGGGUGAGGAAUACAUCGGAAUCUACUUUUUCGUGGGGGAUAACGUAGGGAAACUUACGCUAAUACCGCAUACGACCUACGGGUGAAAGCAGGGGAUCUUCGGACCUUGCGCGAUUGAAUGAGCCGAUGUCGGAUUAGCUAGUUGGCGGGGUAAAGGCCCACCAAGGCGACGAUCCGUAGCUGGUCUGAGAGGAUGAUCAGCCACACUGGAACUGAGACACGGUCCAGACUCCUACGGGAGGCAGCAGUGGGGAAUAUUGGACAAUGGGCGCAAGCCUGAUCCAGCCAUACCGCGUUGGUGAAGAAGGCCUUCGGGUUGUAAAGCCCUUUUGUUGGGAAAGAAAAGCAGCAGGUUAAUACCCCGCUGUUCUGACGGUACCCAAAGAAUAAGCACCGGCUAACUUCGUG